UUGCACGCUGGCGGCAGGCCUAACACCUGCCAGUCGAACGGUAACAGGAAGAAGCUUGCUUCUUUGCUGACGAGUGGCGGACGGGUGAGUAAUGUCUGGGAAACUGCCUGAUGGAGGGGGAUAACUACUGGAAACGGUAGCUAAUACCGCAUAAUGUCGCAAGACCAAAGAGGGGGACCUUCGGGCCUCUUGCCAUCGGAUGUGCCCAGAUGGGAUUAGCUAGUAGGUGGGGUAACGGCUCACCUAGGCGACGAUCCCUAGCUGGUCUGAGAGGAUGACCAGCCACACUGGAACUGAGACACGGUCCAGACUCCUACGGGAGGCAGCAGUGGGGAAUAUUGCACAAUGGGCGCAAGCCUGAUGCAGCUAUGCCGCGUGUAUGAAGAAGGCCUUCGGGUUGUAAAGUACUUUCAGCGGGGAGGAAGGGAGUAAAGUUAAUACCUUUGCUCAUUGACGUUACCCGCAGAAGAAGCACCGGCUAACUCCGUG
Molecule: ribosomal RNA, 489 nt
Filed under: uncultured bacterium
Lineage: Bacteria
Description: partial 16S ribosomal RNA
Rfam family: Bacterial small subunit ribosomal RNA
Source: RNAcentral